This 497-nucleotide ribosomal RNA is filed under the name uncultured bacterium. RNAcentral describes it as "partial 16S ribosomal RNA". It matches the Rfam family "Bacterial small subunit ribosomal RNA", at positions 28 to 507 of the family's 1533-position model. The record is from RNAcentral.
GAUGAACGCUGGCGGCGUGCCUAAUACAUGCAAGUCGAGCGAACGGACGAGAAGCUUGCUUCUCUGAUGUUAGCGGCGGACGGGUGAGUAACACGUGGAUAACCUACCUAUAAGACUGGGAUAACUUCGGGAAACCGUAGCUAAUACCGGAUAAUAUUUUGAACCGCAUGGUUCAAAAGUGAAAGACGGUCUUGCUGUCACUAAUCGAUGGAUCCGCGCUGCAUUGGCUAGUUGGUAAGGUAACGGCUUACCAAGGCAACGAUGCAUAGCCGACCUGAGAGAGUGAUCGGCGACAUUGGAAGGGAAACACGGUCCAGACUCCUACGGGAGGCAGCAGUAGGGAACGUUCGGCAAUGGUCGAAAGCCUGGCGGAGCAGCGCCGAGUGAGUGAUGAAGGUCUUCGGAUCGUAAAACUCUGUUAUUAGGGAAGAACAGAUGUGUAAGUAACUGUGCACAUCUUGACGGUACCGAAUCAGAAAGCCACGGCUAACUACGUG